Molecule: transfer RNA, 848 nt
Filed under: uncultured Synechococcus sp.
Lineage: Bacteria; Bacillati; Cyanobacteriota; Cyanophyceae; Synechococcales; Synechococcaceae
Description: partial contains 16S ribosomal RNA, 16S-23S ribosomal RNA intergenic spacer, and 23S ribosomal RNA
Rfam family: tRNA (bases 284-356)
Source: RNAcentral
UUGGAUCACCUCCUAACAGGGAGACAACACAAUGAUUUUGAUGCCUGAGUACUUUUAUUCUUAGGCCGAAAUCCUGUCACCUUAGGUCGAUCGGUACCUCAGCUUUGAAGUCAAGGAUCAACAGCAACGUUGAUUGCUUGAUGGAGAUUUUCAGUUCCUAAACUUUGUCUAGGUCACACCCCAAAAGGGAUGAGACUCCUGGGCCAUUAGCUCAGGUGGUUAGAGCGCACCCCUGAUAAGGGUGAGGUCCCUGGUUCAAGUCCAGGAUGGCCCAUUCGGUGUUGGGGGUUUAGCUCAGUUGGUAGAGCGCCUGCUUUGCAAGCAGGAUGUCAGGAGUUCGAGUCUCCUAACCUCCACUGACCGAACUUGAUUCCCAUCUCCAAUUUUUUGGAGUUGAGCUCGAUUGGAGUGUGAUUUAGAUGUGUCCGCUGGAUGACCCCAGCUUCCUGUCAUUCCAAGUUUUAGAUUUUAAGUCUUGAAUUUGGUUGAUAAGAUGCUGGGCUCGGAUCAAGUGAUCAAGCAAUUGAUGAUUUGAUUUGAAGUUCUAGCAGAACCUUGACAACUGCAUAGGUGAGUCUGGAAAAAACAAAGCAUCUUACAGAUGCAUUGUUUUGAAUCUGAUCUUCUGAAAGGGAGAUUGGAUCUAGAACAAUGAAAAUUCUUUUGAGCAAGAGCCGAGACUCUUGAGCGUUCUUUGAUUGGUGUCGAGCCAAUCAGAGUUUGAUCUUGUUUUUAGCAAUAAAAACUUGAGAAUCUGCUUUCAACGGCGGUAAGCGUUCAGGAGGUUAAUUGGUCAAGCUACAAAGGGCUCACGGCGGAUACCUUGGCACACAGAGGCGAUGAAAGGA